CCUACGGGUGGCAGCAGUGGGGAAUAUUGCGCAAUGGGCGAAAGCCUGACGCAGCGACGCCGCGUGAGGGAUGAAGGUCUUCGGAUCGUAAACCUCUGUCAGCAGGGAAGAACGGUCACUGUGCUAAGCAGCAGUGAAUUGACGGUACCUGCAAAGGAAGCACCGGCUAACUCCGUGCCAGCAGCCGCGGUACUACGGAGGGGGCAAGCGUUAUCCGGAUUGACGGGGUGUAAAGGGGGCGCAGACGGCAGCGCAAGCCAGGAGGGAAAGCCCGGGGCCCCACCCCGGGACUGCUCUUGGAGCUGCGCGGCUGGAGUGCAGGAGGGGCAGGCGGAAUUCCGGGUGUAGCGGUGAGAUGCGUAGCUAUCAGGAGGAACACCGGUGGCGACGGCGGCCUGCUGGACUGCGCCUGCCGUUGCGGCCCGAACGCGUGGGGAGCAACCAGGAUUAGAUACCCUAGUAGUC
Molecule: ribosomal RNA, 465 nt
Filed under: uncultured bacterium
Lineage: Bacteria
Description: partial 16S ribosomal RNA
Rfam family: Bacterial small subunit ribosomal RNA
Source: RNAcentral